AUCCAGCCGAAGAGUCCCAAACAGGACGAAACGCAGUUUGUCCUGGAU
This 48-nucleotide non-coding RNA is filed under the name Schistosoma curassoni. Lineage: Eukaryota; Metazoa; Platyhelminthes; Trematoda; Strigeidida; Schistosomatidae. The record is from RNAcentral.